This 388-nucleotide ribosomal RNA is filed under the name uncultured bacterium. Its description in RNAcentral is "bacterial SSU rRNA". It matches the Rfam family "Bacterial small subunit ribosomal RNA", at positions 370 to 772 of the family's 1533-position model. The record is from RNAcentral.
AAUGGAGGAAACUCUGACGCAGCGACGCCGCGUGAGCGAUGAAGGCCUUCGGGUUGUAAAGCUCUGUUGCAGGGGAAAAAUAAAGUGAUUGUACCCUGCGAGGAAGGAUCGGCUAACUUCGUGCCAGCAGCCGCGGUAAGACGAGGGAUCCUAGCGUUGUUCGGAAUCAUUGGGCGUAAAGCGGGUGUAGGUUGCUCUUUAAGUCAGAUGUGAAAGCCCGGGGCUUAACCCCGGAAGUGCAUUUGAUACUGAAGAGCUUGAGUGCUGGAGAGGCUACUAGAAUUCCUGGUGUAGUGGUGAAAUACGUAGAUAUCAGGAGGAAUACCGGAGGCGAAGGCGGGUAGCUGGCCAAGCACUGACACUCAGACCCGAAAGCGUGGGGAUCAAA